RNAcentral lists this ribosomal RNA (1428 nucleotides) under Triticum aestivum (bread wheat). RNAcentral describes it as "partial small subunit ribosomal RNA". The record is from RNAcentral. Lineage: Eukaryota; Viridiplantae; Streptophyta; Magnoliopsida; Poales; Poaceae.
AUGGACGCCGCCGGCGGCAACGGAAGCAGCAGCAGCGUGAUGUGCCAGCUGGUGAGCGCGGAGGGGGAGCAGCUGGGCGCGGCGCUCUACCUGCCGCACAACGUCGGACCGCCGCAGCUCCAGGACAUCGUCAACCAACUACUACACAACGAGGACAAGCUGCCCUACGCCUUCUACGUCGGCGACGAGGAGCUCUCCGUCCAGCUCGGCGCCUUCAUGCAACGCAACAACGCCACCGCGGAGGUCACCCUGCGCAUCGUCUACCAGCCGCAGGCCGUCUUCCGCAUCAGGCCCGUCAACCGAUGCUCAGCCACAAUCGCAGGCCACACCGAGGCUGUAUUGGCCGUUUCUUUCAGCCCCGACGGGAGAUGCUUGGCUAGUGGUUCAGGCGACACCACUGUUCGCUUCUGGGACCUCAGCACACAGACCCCAUUGUACACAUGCAAAGGCCACAAGAAUUGGGUUCUCUGCAUUGCAUGGUCACCUGAUGGGAAACAUCUUGUUAGUGGAAGCAAGUCAGGAGAGCUUAUAUUAUGGGACCCCAAAACAGGCAAUCAAUUGGGCACUCCUCUUACGGGACAUAGAAAGUGGAUUACUGCUGUAUCUUGGGAGCCAGUUCAUUUGCAAUCUCCUUCCCGUCGUUUUGUAAGUGCAAGUAAAGAUGGCGAUGCACGAAUUUGGGACAUUACCACAAAGAAGUGUGUUAUUUCCCUUUCAGGUCACACCAAUGCUGUGACCUGUGUCAAGUGGGGUGGAGACGGUUUGAUAUAUACAGGUUCUGAAGAUUGUUUAAUCAAAGUAUGGGAAACUACUCAGGGCAAGUUGGUCAAAACACUGCAGGGUCAUGGGCACUGGGUAAAUUCGCUUGCCUUGAGCACAGAAUAUGUUCUCCGCACUGGGGCAUAUGACCAUACCGGCAAGACAUUUUCAAGUCCAGAGGAAAUGAAAGAGGCAGCUCUUGCAAGAUAUGAGAAGAUGAGGGGUAAUGCUCCUGAGAGGCUGGUCUCUGGUUCAGAUGAUUUUACCAUGUUUCUUUGGGAACCAACGAUUAGCAAACAGCCGAAAGCUCGCAUGACUGGUCAUCAGAAGGUGGUGAACCAUGUCUACUUCUCCCCUGACGGGCAGUGGCUGGCGAGUGCCUCCUUUGACAAAUCGGUCAAGCUGUGGAACGGCAUCACGGGCAAAUUCGUCGCAGCUUUCCGAGGGCAUGUCGCGGAUGUGUACCAGAUCAGCUGGUCCGCCGACAGUCGGCUUCUGCUGAGUGGAAGCAAGGAUUCGACCCUAAAGGUGUGGGAUAUCCGGGCGCGCAAGCUGAAGCAGGACCUGCCAGGGCACGCGGACGAGGUGUACGCCGUGGAUUGGAGCCCCGACGGCGAGAAGGUUGUCUCUGGUGGCAAAGACAGGGUCCUAAAGUUGUGGAUGAACUAA